RNAcentral lists this long non-coding RNA (442 nucleotides) under Homo sapiens (human). RNAcentral's name for it is "HSALNT0158475". Lineage: Eukaryota; Metazoa; Chordata; Mammalia; Primates; Hominidae. The record is from RNAcentral.
AUUUGAAUUAACCACUGUCAAAGACUGUAGUGACACAGAUCAAAUGUCAAACAAUGUAGCCCAAGCCCAGCCCCCUUCUUUCAAAUCUAAAUUUAGCAAAUAUCUUUCAAUAUUACACUUUUCUCCUUUGAAACUUGAAGGCUUUGGGCAUUUAAGAAUCAGUGUUUCAGCUGCAAUGCUUCUGAGAGGAAGGGAGAUUUUCAAAGAGCCUUUGUCAGCCCAGGAGUGAGUGAGUUAAUCCAUCCACCUGCCCCAACUGAGAGCAGAAGACACUGUUUAUAGGACUGAAGACAGAGGUGCUGGGUGCAAGGACUGAGACUAAGAAUGGAAAUGCGAGAACCAGGAUUCAGGGGGUGCAGCGACAAGAACUGCAAGGUGCUGCUCCCUCCCGUGACUCCUAAGCUGCUAGACGAGAGCUGUGCUUCUCCUAUCUAGGUCUCAA